This 487-nucleotide small RNA is filed under the name Histoplasma capsulatum. RNAcentral describes it as "hypothetical RNA". RNAcentral also lists the same sequence under 1 other name. Lineage: Eukaryota; Fungi; Ascomycota; Eurotiomycetes; Onygenales; Ajellomycetaceae. The record is from RNAcentral.
AGGGAUUGGGUAGGGUGCGGGCUCUCUAUCCAGCUCCAUAUUUCCCAGGCGAGCAAUCAUCGUUGUCCUCCAUUGUUUUCCCCGCUAGAAAACCCUUGGAGAGGAGGGGGAAGGGGUUGGGGUUUAUGCGUUCAUUCACAUUAAUUAGGCUAUGUUAGCUCGAUUUAUUGACAGUCCAACAACAGGUUGGUGGGAAGAUGGCGAGGCUGGAAUUUCCGGUGUUUUCUUUUUGAUCAAUCAAUCAAUUAUGGGUGUGGGCUUCGGGGACUCAAGAUUUUCGCUUCCUGCGAGGCCAGAUUCAAUAAUGAAAAUUGAUUGAAUUCCCUCGGGACACUGUCACUGAUAGAUAGCCUAGUGCGACCCGUGGCUGCAUCGGUGUAGUGUAUGUGUGGAUGUAUGUAUUGUACGUAGCUGCCCGCCUGGCAUCUGCAGCAGAGUUGUGCGUAACCGCCAAGGCAUAUUUUUGUUUUCCGACUCUCACUUCGCG